GCUCUGUUUUCUUUGGCAUUGCAUGUACUAAAAUUGGAAUGAGGCGAAGAUUAGCAUGUCCCCUGCCGAAAGAUGACACACAAAUUGGUGAAGUGUUCCUACUUAAA
Molecule: small nuclear RNA, 107 nt
Filed under: Microtus ochrogaster (prairie vole)
Lineage: Eukaryota; Metazoa; Chordata; Mammalia; Rodentia; Cricetidae
Source: RNAcentral